RNAcentral lists this ribosomal RNA (439 nucleotides) under uncultured bacterium. Its description in RNAcentral is "partial 16S ribosomal RNA". It matches the Rfam family "Bacterial small subunit ribosomal RNA", at positions 338 to 795 of the family's 1533-position model. The record is from RNAcentral.
CCUACGGGUGGCAGCAGUAGGGAAUAUUGCUCAAUGGGGGAAACCCUGAAGCAGCAACGCCGCGUGGAGGAUGAAGGUUUUCGGAUUGUAAACCACUGUCCCCAGGGACGAAGAUGACGGUACCUGGGGAGGAAGCUCCGGCUAACUACGUGCCAGCAGCCGCGGUAAUACGUAGGGAGCGAGCGUUGUCCGGAAUUACUGGGUGUAAAGGGAGCGUAGGCGGGACUGCAAGUUGGGUGUCAAAUCUACCGGCUCAACCGGUAGCCGCACUCAAAACUGCAGUUCUUGAGUGAAGUAGAGGCAGGCGGAAUGCCUAGUGUAGCGGUGAAAUGCGUAGAUAUUAGGAGGAACACCAGUGGCGAAGGCGGCCUGCUGGGCUUUUACUGACGCUGAGGCUCGAAAGUGUGGGGAGCAAACAGGAUUAGAUACCCGUGUAGUC